CGGGGCGUGGCGCAGCUUGGUAGCGCGUCCGGUUUGGGUCCGGAAGGUCGCGAGUUCGAAUCCCGCCGCCCCGA
RNAcentral lists this transfer RNA (74 nucleotides) under Gemmobacter caeni. Its description in RNAcentral is "tRNA-Pro". It matches the Rfam family "tRNA". Rfam says of the family: Transfer RNA (tRNA) molecules are approximately 80 nucleotides in length. Lineage: Bacteria; Pseudomonadati; Pseudomonadota; Alphaproteobacteria; Rhodobacterales; Paracoccaceae. The record is from RNAcentral.